Molecule: long non-coding RNA, 2110 nt
Filed under: Podarcis lilfordi (Lilford's wall lizard)
Lineage: Eukaryota; Metazoa; Chordata; Lepidosauria; Squamata; Lacertidae
Source: RNAcentral
AGGAGUCAGUUCAACUCCUGGAACUGUUCAGAAACCAAGGCAUGGCUUCUGAUUGGCUGCAGGAACUUCCUGCACUCAAGCGGAAGUCGCGUUGGACGUUCGUCUUCAAAAGAAUGUUUUGAAAACACUUACUUCCGGGUUUUUGGCGUUCAGGAAUCAAAACGUACGAGUACCAAGGCGUUCAAGAACCAAGGUAUGACUGUGUUUUGUUUCUAGGUAUCCUAUAUAAGCUAUCGCUGCCUUCUGUGGGAUAACCUUCCAAUAGGUUUGGCAUAGCCUUGACUGCUUAUUACGAAAGAAGAAUGUUUAUCCCUGAUUCUGGGGCACAAAUCCACAAGUCAUACGCCCUGACUUACAUCCCUUUCAAAAUCUUCUAAAACAGUAUGUAAAGCGGGUGGCAGAGAAGGUAAUGGGUCCGCACACCCCUCUGGCAUUCAUGUAUUUCAGUAAUUCAUUGAGACUCUGCGUUUUGGCUGUUUAUCUCAAAAUUUAUACCUGAAGGAGCGUCACCCCCAUCGUUCAGCCCGGACACUGAGGUAGAGCUCAGAGGGCCUUCUGGCAAUUCCCUCACUGCAAGAAGUGAGAUUACAGGGAACCAGGCAGAGGGCCUUCUUGGUGGUGGCGCCUGCCCUGUGGAACACCCUCCCAUCAGAUGUCAAGGAAAUUAACAACUAUCUGAAUUUUAGAAGAUAUCUGAAGGCAGCCCUGUUUAGGGAAGUUUUUAAUGUUCAAUGAUUUGUCGUAUUUUUAAUAUUCUGCUGGGAGCCGCCCAGAGUGGCUUGGGAAACCCAGCCAGAUGGGUGGGGUAUAAAUAAUAAAUUAUUAUUAUUAGUAGUAGUAGUAGUAUGUCUAUUGAAAAGUGAGUGUCAUUGAAGUGAAUGGAGUUUUUUAUAAUUUUUAUUGAAAUUCAUUGACAUAAAAUACAAUAAGAAACAGUCUACAGAAUAUUAAAUAAUAUAUAAUAUUAAUAUAUAUUAAUAUUUGAAAACACUUACUUCCGGGUUUUUGGCGUUUAUAUAUAAUAAUAUAUAAUAUUAAAUAUAAAUAAUAUUCUGUAAUAUUAUUAAUAUUAAAAGAAUAUUAAAGUAAGCCAAUGGGGUUUAAGAGGGCAACAAUCCUAUUCACACUUACCUGGGAGUCAGUCAAUGGGUCUUACUUCUGAGUAGACGCACACAGCAUUACACUGCUCAUCCCUUAAAUGUAGCCAAUAAUAGGCAUUUAUUGUGUAUUUUGUCCAUUUACCAGAAUAGCCUUGGCCUUCCCUAAACAUGAAAUAAUGAAAUAGCACCCCUGAGGAUAUAUGUGAACGUUUAUAGGGAGAUUGUCAUUUGAAUUUAAAACACUUUCCCAGCACAUUACAUGCCACAUUUAAAGAAAAAUUAAGAUUCCCAAGUCUCAAAAAUCACAUGAGGGGCAAGGAGGUUAUUAACCUCAUUUACGAAAGCUCCUUGAACAGUCGGUGGAAAUGAGUGCAGUGCAAUCACUGAAAGGAAGGGGAGGACUAUAUUUGAAGGGGUGUGUGGAAACAGGUACUCUGGAGAAGGGAGAUAAUUAGUUUCUUUUUCUUUUUUUAAGGAAGUAGAAGAGAAUGUCUCUUUAAAGGCCAAUGACUUUGAAAGGCAAAGAGGUUUUUUUUGGAGGACACCAAAGCAGUGAUCCUGGAAAAAGUGGACGGAAUUCAGUUUUAAAUUUCAAUAAUCUUACUAGGAGGUUAGGCAUACACUUAAUCCAGAAAGAAAGAAAGAAAGAAAGAAAGAAAGAAAGAAAGAAAGAAAGGUAAAGGACCCCUGGACAAUUAAGUCCAGUCAAAGGCGGCUAUGGAGUUGUGGCACUCAUCUCACUUUCAGGCCGAGGCAGUCAGCGUUUGUCCAUAGACAGCUUUUCCGGGUCAUGUGGCCAGCAUGACUAAACCACUUCUGGCGCAAAGGAACACCGUGAUGGAAACCAGAGUGCGUGGAAACACUGUUUACCUUCCCGCUGCAGCGAUACCUAUUUAUCUACUUGCACUAGUGUGCUUUCGAACUGCUAGGUAGGCAGAAGCUGGGACAGAGCAACAGGAGCUCACCCUGUUUCAGGGAUUUGAACCACUGACCUUCUGAUCGGCAAGCCC